CACUCAGGAAAUCCACAGUGCCCCGGUCAGCGCUAGCCAUGACGAAGACUUUUACAUGCAUAUACCACUUGCUUGUUCUGAGCUGGUAUAUUUUCCUCAAUUAUUACAUCACACAGGAUGAAACAGAUGAAGUGAAAUCCAAAAUCUUUGCAAAUGGUGGCAAGUGGAAAUACAUGACGCUGCUUAAUAUGCUUUUGCAGACCAUUUUCUACGAGGUUGCCUGCCUGGGUGAUGUGCUGAAAAGAUCAGAGGGAGAAAAGACAUGACGUUCCUAACUGCCUUCAGAGACCUGCUUUUCGCCACACUGGCUUUUCCUAUAUCCACAUUUGUAUUUUUGGCAUUCUGGAUCCUUUUUCUCUACAAUCGAGAUCUUAUUUACCCCAAGGCCCUAGAUACUCUUCUCCCAGCGUGGCUGAAUCAUGCAGUGCACACUUUCAUAUUGCCCAUCACGUUGACUGAAGUCAUCCUCAGGCCGCACUCCUAUCCGUCAAAGAAGACAGGACUCGCCUUGCUGGCUGCUGGCAGCAUUGCUUAUGUCAGCAGGAUCCUAUGGAUCUACUUUGAGACGGGUACCUGGGUGUAUCCUCUGCUUGCUAAACUCAGCCCUGUGGGGCUAGCAGCUUUCUUCUCUCUCAGCUACAUCUUCAUCACCAGCAUCUACCUACUCAGAGAGAAGCUCAACCACUGGAAAUGGGGUGACAUGAUGCUGCCACAGAAGAAGAGGAAGUGA
Non-coding RNA from Saimiri boliviensis boliviensis (Bolivian squirrel monkey), 730 nucleotides. NCBI's taxonomy places the organism in Eukaryota, Metazoa, Chordata, Mammalia, Primates, Cebidae. The record is from RefSeq and is a predicted model, not a curated record.